This 500-nucleotide ribosomal RNA is filed under the name uncultured bacterium. RNAcentral's name for it is "partial 16S ribosomal RNA". It matches the Rfam family "Bacterial small subunit ribosomal RNA", at positions 30 to 523 of the family's 1533-position model. The record is from RNAcentral.
AUUGAACGCUGGCGGAAUGCUUUACACAUGCAAGUCGAACGGCAGCACGGACUUCGGUCUGGUGGCGAGUGGCGAACGGGUGAGUAAUGUAUCGGAACGUGCCCAGUCGUGGGGGAUAACGUAGUGAAAAUUACGCUAAUACCGCAUACGAUCUAUGGAUGAAAGCGGGGGAUCGCAAGACCUCGCGCGAUUGGAGCGGCCGAUAUCAGAUUAGGUGGUUGGGGGGGUAAAGGCCCACCAAGCCAACCAUCUGUAGCUGGUCUGAGAGGACGACCAGCCACACUGGAACUGAGACACGGUCCAGACUCCUACGGGAGGCAGCAGUGGGGAAUUUUGGACAAUGGGCGAAAGCCUGAUCCAGCCAUUCCGCGUGCAGGAUGUAGGCCCUCGGGUUGUAAACUGCUUUUGUACGGAACGAAAAGGUUUCUACUAAUACUAGGAGCUCAUGACGGUACUGUAAGAAUAAGCACCGGCUAACUACGUGCCAGCCGCCGCGGUAA